GCAAUUAGGCAAGAGAAAGAAAUCAAGGGUAUUCAGUUAGGAAAAGAAGAAGGCAGUUCUUUAAAAUGCUAAAUAUAGGGUUUUCAUGUAGCUCAACAACUCUGCUCUUAGAUACACACCAAAGAUAAUUAAAAUAUAUUUCCCAGUCAAUAAUUCAUAUACACAUUUAUAGCACUGUUAUUUAUAAUAAUCAAAAGGUGGAACAACCCAAAUGUUUAUCAAAUGAUGUAUACGUAAGCAAAGUGUGUUAUGUCAAUAAAAAGGAAUAUUAUUCACCCAUAGAAAACAAUUAAGUCAUGAUUCAAAACACAACAUGAAUAAACCUUGAAAAUAUACUAAGUAAAACAAAGUCACAAAAGGCAACACAUAGUAUGCUUCCAUUUCUAUAAAAUGUCCAAAAUAGGCAGAUCCACAAAGAUCAAUACAAGAUUAGUAGUUGCCAGCAACUGGGGGAAGGGGGAAAGGAGAGUAACUGCAAAUAGGUGUGAAUUUUCUUUUUGCUUUGAUGAGUAUGCUUUGCAAUUACAUAGUAGAGAUGGUUGUACACUCUUGUGGAGAUACUGAAUAUAAUUAAAUUAUGUACUCAAAAUAGGGAAUUUAAAAAAAAUGCAUUUGUAAAAGAAAAAAAGAGGUUUAGUCUAGGAUCAGGGAUGUGUGUCAGUACUGCCAUGAACAAUAGAGAGCCACACAAGCCACAUACUGCUAUGAAGUGGUGGUAGGUAGAAGAGGUCAUACUUCUUGGGGGUGGCCUUUUAUGCUCCUUGGAAUAAUAACCAUGGCUUAGAGGACCUCACCUUCAUCAAAUGUGUCCCAUUUCCUAGGUAGAUCUGCUGAUAUUCAAUGGGCCAUGCAGCCAUCUCUCUUGUACGUUGGUGAUGUCUAAUGAGCAAUGCCAAAGUGUCUCCACUUCCCAAUGGUCUUGAUUUUUUUUCUUUUACACCAUGGAAACUUUGUAUCAUCUUAGGGAUAGGGAUUGGGGAGAAAAUUCCAAGAAUAACUAAAGUUUGAUCUUUUUAUCAUCUAAGGCAUUAUUUUAACUGAUUCAAAGAGAUAAGGAUUAAAAAUAAGUUUUUUCUUGUAUAUCUGAGUUUGUUGACUGAGACUCAUACUUUUUACCUUUUAUUGGAAACUUAAGUUUCUUCCUUAGAUUAUUACAAAAGAUGCACAAAAAGUUCGUAAAAACAAAGAUCUCCUUUUGCAAUUAUAGCUAUUAGUACUAUGUAAAACAAAAACAAAAUCUUUUGAUAAGGAGAACUCAUUCUUGACUCUGCUAUUUAUUCAACGAAAUUUCCAGUUCAAUCACCUAUUUGUCAAUCAAUUCAAUUCAAAUCAAAUUCUAUUUAAUAAAUUGUGUUCCACCUGUCUCUUCAUGUCUCCUCUUUCCCCGAUAAAUCCUUUGACCACUUUGCCUUUCCCUCCCGGCUGCCCUCUUGCUGUGUUUACUCCCAAUCCAUCUCUGUGUUAAGUAUCAAUCCAGGAGUCGCCUCACCAGGGCUGUUUCCUUUUCACUUGCAUGGCUUUGGUGCCUAUGUUAUAAUAAUCAGAGAGAAAGAGCUCGUGUCUGCCCACAGAGAGCUUAUUAAAAUAUUAGAACUUAUUUUGUCCAAUCCUUGUCUUUCUGGUGUGUAUAUUCUUUAGGCCUUGGCCAUCCUGUCCCACAUAGAGACUGCCAUCAUAAUCAGAAACAGAAACUUAGCUUCUGCAUCUUUUGUCCCUUCCAGAUGAUCUUUAACACAUUCUGCAAAGCCAACAACAGUCCUCUUGGUCAUCAAGCCUCACAUUUCAAACCUUUUGAAUGUUUAAAAGGUUGUGCUUAAAUGUGUGAUAUUUGCUGUCAUUAGACAACUAUAUCUUUGACCUUUUAUUGCAUUGUUUCCAUCUUAUCAAUGAUCAUUGUUUCAGUAUUAGGAAUUGAUACCCAAAGUCUUAUCUCAAGAGUAUGUGACAGAGGAAAAUUUAAACAUUCAGAAAGAUUCCUCAUGAAGCAACAAAUUAGCUUUUCAUAUACAAUAUUUGAGCCCUAGGUUUUUGUCAGGUUACUGGAUUCCACUUCUCAGACCUGUGUUUCCCAAAACAACACAAAACUAUUUCCCUCACCUGAGCAGGUUGCUUUAGAGAGAAAGCAAAAUCAGAGCUCUGCAGGCAAGAAUUAGGCAGGAGUGUAAUCCACUUUCCCAUAAAGGAAUAACCUUCUGUCUUCAGAAAUGAGGCAUGUUUUACACAUUUAUGCAUUAUUAUUGGUUAAUUUCUCAAGUCAUAGAUAGGUAACAUAUUAAAUUAUAAAAGUUGAAGGUUCCAAUCUUGGUUAGUGGUAAUUACUUCCAGAGAAUAUUGCUUGCCUCCCUGAUUGUUAACUGCAGUCGUGAAUUUACUCCUGGGCCUCCCGUGAACCUUCUCCUCAUUUGUAUGGCGCAUAUAUUUCACUCAGGCUCAAAGGCUUCUGCAGUCACUCUUACUAAUUUAUAAAAUUGGUUCACCUACAAUUUUGAGUCUAAGGAGGGAAAAUGGCUUGCACUGCUCCCAGGGAGAGAAGAUGAAUACAGGUAAAGUGAGUCCCUGAGUGAUAAUAAUGACAACCACACCAUCAUUUAUUGGGAACUUACUAUAUAUCAAGCAUUGAUGGUAUAUCUUUCAAUUUUAUUAUCAUUCAUGUUCUUUCUAUAUGUUACUGCCCUAUGGAAUGAUGAGGAGAUUGAGCUUCAGGGAGUGGGGAUAAGGAAGUCAGAUCGUUGAGCCAUUUAUCAUUUCUGGAUCUUCAGGCUUACUUAAACCUGUCUUUCGGGGUUUGAAGUUAAGCCCCUGCCCCAACUUCCUUCUCCAUCCUCCCAUGUCCAUUCAAAGAUGCAGAUUAGAUCGAGGGAAAUUUCUCUUAAUAAGGCAGGAUCUUUAUUUCAUGAGUGCUUCCUGAGUAUAUCUAAUGCUCAAGCAAAACAUAGCAAAGUCUUUGUAACUUACCCAAAUUUUUGUGAAAUGCCUGAUUUAAUGAACUUUUCCAAAGAAUUAUGGUUUCAAGUACAAGCAAUAAUACUGCUUACAUAAGAAGGAGAAUGGCUAGCCCAAAUUGUAUGCCCUAUUAUAAAAAUCUCAUUAGUAACUGACAGUGUUCAUUUGUCAUGUGCUUAUCCCAUGUGUGCAUGCUAACUGCUGUUCAAAAUGGUCUGUUUGACUUUUCUUCAGGGAAGAUGAACAUUUUCCCUGUUUAUGGGAUGCACUGACUGAAAACGUCAUGUACUAAUUUCAAUUAUUCAAAUUUAGAAUAGAUGGAACAUGUGUCAAUGAAUUAUGCUGUUGAAUUAUAACAGCCAAUAUUUGUGAAAGAACAACAUCCCACACAGACACCCUCUUUUCUUUUGAGAAAGGCCCACCAAGCCUGGAUCCCAUAAGUAUUCUAGUCUCAGGAAAGAGAAUAGUAGGAAAUAGAUUGUAUGUUUUUUUCUUCUUGGGAGAGGGUUAAGAUGAGAUGUAAGAAGGUGGGUGGGGAAGAGCUCCAAGGUGGGAAGCCACACGUGGCAUUUCUCCUGCUCCAUUUUCUAAGUUGAUAUCAAAUAUGGGGCCAACAAAUGACCUUCGACCCAACUUCAUUUAUAAUCUCUUGGGAAUUGUGCAUUUGCUGUGUCCUCCCAAUCUCAUGCAUUUACUUCCUUAAACUUCUGUCUCUGUAAAGGACUCAAUGCAGCUAAGAGAAUAGCUAUUUAAAGGGCAUGGACCAUGCCACCCUUCAUUUUAUCCCUGCCUAUUAGCACAGUGAAGGAAUACUGGAGCCUUUCCAACUAUCUGCGAACAUGUGAAUGUCUUGUUCUGGGUUAUUUACUUUUCGAUUGUCUCCAGAUUUUAGAAUAGGGGUGGUAAGAACUCUAAAUGCAGAGUCAGGACACGUCUUUGAGCACAGAGAGUUGGAAAGUGUAUUUUCAUGAAACACUUUCUAAAGAGCUCACAGAGAUUAAAGAGUUCACCAAGAUUUUGGACAGGAGUUUGAAAUUUACUUAAUUAUUUCCAAGAACAAGGCUGGAGGGAAAACAGCCUUGGUGGGGAUUUGCCAAGCUGGGUUUGAACCUGGCUGCACUUGUUUGGGUCCUUGAGGCAUCCUUCUCCUCUCUGUAAAAUCAGGGAAUUUAACUACUAUCAUUUCACCUCAAGAUAAAUUCAGGGAUCAAGAAAAUUCCAUUGUUUCACAAAACACAAUUUCUUGGAACUUCCAGCUAGAAAGGAAGUAGAGAAAGGAGGGCAAAUAUAUUGCUCCAAAGUGAGGGUGAUAUGUUUUGUGGCACUGGGUGGAGGAGGCCCUGUGAACUGUGCUGUUGCCUGGAAUCAACUCUCUAAAUGGCUGCUCCACUGUCAUCUCCCAUGCAUGUUCCUGAUAGGGAUUUCCAGACAUGUUGCCGCCACCAGCAUCCUUCUCUUAGGGAAGGGUGGGUUCUUGUUACCAGGAGGCACAGGACCUCAAGAGAAGCACCAUGAAACCAGGUAACUUGCAACUACUAUAGGAAACCCCGAAAGAUAGAGUGAUUCUGAGGCAGGAGAGAGGAAGCAAAGUGAGGGGACAGGAGAUAGAAUGUAGAUGUCUUCACUACCUAUGCAUUACUUUCAAAGGUAACAUGGCCCGUGAAUCCAUCCUUGUGAGGAACAGCCAACCCUCUGCCAUUUAGGCAAGGCCACUUAGAUUAAGAAUUAAAAAUCAUAUUUCAGCAGUUUUCUGUUUCCUAUGAUAAAGCUCAUUUUCAAAAUAUUACAUUUUAUUUCAAACUCAUAGUUUCUAUGUAUUAUAUGAGGAAUUGUAUUAAACAUAAUUAUAUUUGAGCUUCAUUUCCUCCAUCAUGCUUUUAGCACCUCUACUCUUAAGAUCUCUGCAACACUCAGAUCUAUGUUAACCAAACGUGAACUUGUGGUUCAGUCCAGGGUCUCAGUCUGCCUGCAGGGGCAUGGUAGGAGCUGCAAUGCUUCCAAGAAAAAUGUACACCAAGCAGAAUAAUGUGAUAAAUGCAAUCUCUGACACCAUUUUCUCUUUGACUUUAUAAAGAAAAUCAUAUCUAUUUUAUAAAAAAUAAACCAAGAAUAAUUUUAGAAUAGUUUCAUAUUACUUUAAGGGAAAUUUCCACUUAGACUAAAUAUCCAUAAUUGUGCAGUCAGUUACAUUCAAUCCUUUCUGCUAUUUUCCCCAAAUGGGACUUGAGGAGAUACUUUAAAUGAAAAACUGCAUCAUAUAUUUCAAAUAGGUUGAGAAAGGUAUUUGAAGUCAUAUUUCAACUUAUUGUUUAAAGCAAGUGAAUGAAAGGAGGAGGACCUGGAUACACAAGCAUUUUAUGAGACCAUCUAAAUAUUAAAACAUAUAUUACCAAGAUUACAACUGUUCAGGAACAAAAAGGCAAGAAAUAAAAUUAUGGUAUGACACUAUUAAUUCCAUUCACUUUCUAAACUCACAGCCAAACAUAGGUUAUUCAUGUAAUGCUUUAAAAUUUUAAUUUUUCAUUGCUUAAUAAAAAAAUAAGUAAUUUGGAGGUUAAAACAGUUUAAUCUUUAUAACAUGCUUCACUAGUUCAUCUAUUUAUAUAGUUUUAUUAAUUUUUGGCCCCAUAUUAAGUGGGCUUUUUCAGCUUUUUGGUCAACUGAGAAAUAUAUAUAAAAUAACUAUACACAUAUACAUUUAUGUAUACAUAUGUGUAUAUAUGAGAUAUAGAAAUACAUACAUACACGAUUUUUUUUCCUUUUUUAAUGGGAUCAUGACCAUUCAAAGAUGGCUUUCACUAAACAAGGUGGUCUUCCUGGGUCAAGCUUCUUAUCUUUGUGUUCAUGCUGACUGACAGCCGUUCAUUCAAGAAAAACCUUGUUUUAUGCAAAGAAGCAUGGAAUACGGUGUGUCGGAGAGAGGGUAAGUAUAAUACAACUCAGUGCAUCAUUCAUCCACUCAACCUGAUACCAACGCUUUGUAAACAGAAAGCCUAAUUGACCUUCCUUGACACGUAUUUCCUGUUGCCCAUGGAAAUAUUUCUAAAAGUGCUUUAAUACAUCCUCAUGCCCUGUCCUGGCCACCAUUCAAAAGGCCUGAAGAUUAAACAGGAGUGUUAUGAGGUUUCCCCAGGAGGAAGUGGUCUGCACUUCAGUCUGACGAAACUCACUCCUUUGAGCAGUGGCUAUUGCUUAGCACCUCUGGGGAGACAGCACACUUGGAGGCGAUACAAAGAAAAACGCCACUACCUUGUCUCCUCAACGGUAGGAUUUAUUUCAAUGCUCACAUACAAUUGAAUGAGACAAACUAUUUACAUAAAACAUAAGUACAAAAAAUAUAAUACAAUUUAUACUGUACAUAAUCAGGAAUCCCUCGUUUUAUUCUCCACACAAACGGCAGCUAGAGAUGGUAAGAAGGGAGUUGCUAGGAAAGGGUGACUGCGUACUCAGCAGUGCUGAGGAUAGAUCUUCAGAAUGCUUUUUCAUAAAGAUGAUGAACAGGGUUGAGAUACAGAAACUGGCAAUGCACCAAGAGCAGUAAGAGAGCACAACAUAUUCACUCCUGUAAUAAUAGCUACGUUUUUCUUUCUUAUAAACGUGUUUGUUUCUCACAGUUGAGGCUUGGAGCAGGUGUGAGUUGACUUCCACUGGUUGGUUAGGUAACCUCCACCCACCCCUACUCCGACUUCCAUAGUUGAUCCAAUGUAGCAGGUGAUGAGCUUCCAGUUGCCACAAUUGGUGUCUUAAGCUGAUUUCAGAAAACACUGUAUCUGUCAGGUGUCAUUAAGCAACGAUCUGGGAUACAGACCUAGACAGCUCUCUCGGGAAGCAUUGAAAACCAGUGAAUUGAUGGACAGGAAAGAUAGAAGUCAUGACCAUUAGAAAUUUCUAUUGCGUACAUCUAACAAGAAGGUUUUGAAGACUAUCAAUCGUUCAAAUGUAAGGAUUGAAAGAAAGUGUGGUGUGCCCAUGGCCCCCUUAGGAAGGACCCAGCAAUCCACAAGCGUUCUAGCAGAGCAUCCCAAGAUCCAUUUUCUCAUUCAAACAAAGGGGAAAUGUAAAGUUGUCUCAUUGUUUUAAAAAGCUAAAUUGUAAUUAAGAUACAUUGUCUUUCAAAAUUAAAUUUAAGAUCAGUAACUUGUCUGCAGCUUGUCUGCAAGCUUACCAAGGGCUGAAAUUGGCUUUAGAGAAGGUUAACAAAAAAAAAAAAAAAAA
Molecule: long non-coding RNA, 7158 nt
Organism: Cercocebus atys (sooty mangabey)
Lineage: Eukaryota; Metazoa; Chordata; Mammalia; Primates; Cercopithecidae
Exons: 2
Source: RefSeq, a predicted model, not a curated record